This 350-nucleotide transfer-messenger RNA is filed under the name chicken gut metagenome. It matches the Rfam family "transfer-messenger RNA". Rfam says of the family: Bacterial tmRNA, also known as 10Sa RNA or SsrA, is named for its dual tRNA and mRNA-like properties. Its role is to liberate the mRNA from a stalled ribosome. The record is from RNAcentral.
GGGGAUGUAAGGUUUCGACAUCUAUUUUGAUUCUAUUGAUAGCGAGUAGUGGAUUCUCGUUGGCCACUAUAAAAACGAGAAAUAAAAUUAAACGCAGAUAAUAAUAGAUUUGCAUUAGCUGCCUAAGGUAGCGAGUCUUUUAUUAUUUUGCUAGAGGGUAAUAAAAGGCUUCGAAUGAUCUAGCAACGAAAUUAACGAUAAUGGUAAAGUUAAUGGGGAUUUUUCCAUUCGGUUGAUAGUAUUUUUGUAAAUUUUUAAGCUAACAAUUUGUAAAAUAAAAUUUACUGCACUCGGAGAAGUUGAUAGAAUAGAAUUUAUGGACGUGGGUUCAAUUCCCACCAUCUCCACCA